UUUAUGGAGAGUUUGAUCCUGGCUCAGGAUGAACGCUGGCGGCGUGCCUAAUACAUGCAAGUCGAGCGAACAGAUAAGGAGCUUGCUCCUUUGACGUUAGCGGCGGACGGGUGAGUAACACGUGGGUAACCUACCUAUAAGACUGGAAUAACUCCGGGAAACCGGGGCUAAUGCCGGAUAACAUGUUGAACCGCAUGGUUCUACAGUGAAAGACGGUCUUGCUGUCACUUAUAGAUGGACCCGCGCCGUAUUAGCUAGUUGGUGGGGUAACGGCCUACCAAGGCGACGAUACGUAGCCGACCUGAGAGGGUGAUCGGCCACACUGGAACUGAGACACGGUCCAGACUCCUACGGGAGGCAGCAGUAGGGAAUCUUCCGCAAUGGGCGAAAGCCUGACGGAGCAACGCCGCGUGAGUGAUGAAGGUCUUCGGAUCGUAAAGCUCUGUUGUUAGGGAAGAACAAAUGUGUAAGUAACUGUGCACAUCUUGACGGUACCUAACCAGAAAGCCACGGCUAACUACGUGCCAGCAGCCGCGGUAAUACGUAGGUGGCAAGCGUUAUCCGGAAUUAUUGGGCGUAAAGCGCGCGUAGGCGGUUUUUUUUAAGUCUGAUGUGAAAGCCCACGGCUCAACCGUGGAGGGUCAUUGGAAACUGGAAAACUUGAGUGCAGAAGAGGAAAGUGGAAUUCCAUGUGUAGCGGUGAAAUGCGCAGAGAUAUGGAGGAACACCAGUGGCGAAGGCGGCUUUCUGGUCUGCAACUGACGCUGAUGUGCGAAAGCGUGGGGAUCAAACAGGAUUAGAUACCCUGGUAGUCCACGCCGUAAACGAUGAGUGCUAAGUGUUAGGGGGUUUCCGCCCCUUAGUGCUGCAGCUAACGCAUUAAGCACUCCGCCUGGGGAGUACGGUCGCAAGACUGAAACUCAAAGGAAUUGACGGGGACCCGCACAAGCGGUGGAGCAUGUGGUUUAAUUCGAAGCAACGCGAAGAACCUUACCAAAUCUUGACAUCCUUUGACCGCUCUAGAGAUAGAGUUUUCCUCUUCGGAGGACAAAGUGACAGGUGGUGCAUGGUUGUCGUCAGCUCGUGUCGUGAGAUGUUGGGUUAAGUCCCGCAACGAGCGCAACCCUUGAACUUAGUUGCCAUCAUUCAGUUGGGCACUCUAAGUUGACUGCCGGUGACAAACCGGAGGAAGGUGGGGAUGACGUCAAAUCAUCAUGCCCCUUAUGAUUUGGGCUACACGUGCUACAAUGGACAAUACAAAGGGCAGCGAAACCGCGAGGUCAAGCAAAUCCCAUAAAGUUGUUCUCAGUUCGGAUUGUAGUCUGCAACUCGACUACAUGAAGCUGGAAUCGCUAGUAAUCGUAGAUCAGCAUGCUACGGUGAAUACGUUCCCGGGUCUUGUACACACCGCCCGUCACACCACGAGAGUUUGUAACACCCGAAGCCGGUGGAGUAACCAUUUUGGAGCUAGCCGUCGAAGGUGGGACAAAUGAUUGGGGUGAAGUCGUAACAAGGUAGCCGUAUCGGAAGGUGCGGCUGGAUCACCUCCUUUCU
RNAcentral lists this ribosomal RNA (1554 nucleotides) under Staphylococcus pseudintermedius. RNAcentral's name for it is "bacterial SSU rRNA". It matches the Rfam family "Bacterial small subunit ribosomal RNA". The record is from RNAcentral. Lineage: Bacteria; Bacillati; Bacillota; Bacilli; Caryophanales; Staphylococcaceae.